Molecule: RNA transcript, 3429 nt
Organism: Phyllopteryx taeniolatus (common seadragon)
Lineage: Eukaryota; Metazoa; Chordata; Actinopteri; Syngnathiformes; Syngnathidae
Gene: zdhhc23b
Gene name: zinc finger DHHC-type palmitoyltransferase 23b
Exons: 7
Source: RefSeq, a predicted model, not a curated record
GUGUACCCCGCCUCCUGCCCGAUGAUUGCUGGGAUAGGCUCCAGCACGCCCGCGACCCUAGUGAGGAGAAGCGGCUCAGAAAAUGGAUGGAUGUUCUAUUUUGGUCACUUCGGUGCACUUCUUUGCUUGAUCAAUCAAUGAUGAUUCUUGUAAUCAAAACAAUCAUUUUCAUACAAAGCUGAAUUAGGUUUUUUAAUUUUUUUUUUUUUUUUUUAAGGGGAAGGUAAAAUAAAACAUCAUUAAUUACGAUAGCUAUUUUCCCAGAAUUGUUUAUUAGCCUAUGAAAAUAAAAUUCAUAUUCAAAUAUGUUGUAUAGUUAUUUUUACCUGCAUGGAUGACGUAAUAAGGUCAGUGGCGACGUAAUAUUUCACGCAUGCGCUGUAGUCCCUGCGGGCAAGGCUUAUUUCUGUGACGUCACUAGUGCGACACAGACGAGGCAAGCAAAACUAAACAGUCGUUGCAUCCAACCAGAACCCUAAAAGAUUUAGAACCCCAGGACUCAAAAACACUCAUUAAACCACACUCAUAAUACAAUUAUUCAAACUUAUUAAACCGCCUAGGGACUUCCGCCACGCACGCGACACCAGAAACGACCGCCGUUGCCUCGAGAGGAGUAACGGACAUGUAACAGCUCAAUGUUGGGUUCAAAAUGGAGAAAAAAGCGACAUUACUACCCAUUUCUGCACCAUGAAGACAAAUAACAAUGAGGCAGACAACGCCUGGUGAGAGAACUGAAGAAAAACAAGUUGAGAGUGCCAGAGAGAGAGAGCCAGAGGGCUUGAGAGACACUGGUUGUCAGGGAGAGCACACAGAGCAGGAAAGAGAGACAGUAGAAGAUACUGAGAGUGACAAACAAGCGGAGUGUAAGACACAUACAGAGAAUAUACAGCUGUCAGCCAUGAAGAGAAGGCGGGACGAGGACGAACAGGAGCAUUUGUGCUGCUGCGAGUAUGUCAACAGACACGGCAAGCGCAGCCACGUGGCGGCCUGCUGCUGCGACUGUGAGGACCUGGAUGACGCCUGUGACAGGUUUUUUAAGCGGGAGCCUCAGAAUCCAGAGUCUCUGUCUCACGUGGCUGCCGACAUCAGCGACCGAUUCCGCAUCCCCUGGCUCCGGGGCGGCGCCCGCAGAGUAGACCUGUCCGUCAUUCCUCCUCUGGUCCUCCUCCCGACACUGCUGCACCUCGCUGCGUUCCACUUCCUGGUCGGUGUGGCAGUUCUAAUCACUCUGCCGGGCUUGGUGCUGUGGUACUACUACUUCACCCACCGCAAAAAAGCCCGGACGCUUUUUUUCCUCAGCCUGGCACUCUUUUCCUUGGCGUACAUGUACUAUUUAUUCGUCUCGAAAGUGGUACCACGUGGGGGCAUCGGUGCCGUUCAGGUCGCCGUGGUAACCACGGGGGUCCUGCUGACCCUCCUCGGCCUCGCGCACACCAAGAGAGGCCCGGGCGUCGUGAAGCCAAACCAAGAGAUUGAUCCUGUUCUCCAAGAGCAGGUGGAAUGGGCACAAGAGGCAGAGCUCAACCGGAAGAACUGGUGUUCCGUGUGCCAGGUGGUACGGCCCCCCAGGGCGGGACAUUGUCGGAUAUGCGGGGUCUGCGUGCUGCGUCUUGACCACCACUGUGUCUGGAUUGACAGCUGCGUGGGCCGAGCUAACCACCGCAGCUUCCUGUUGACGCUCGUCCUCUUCUUGUCCACGUCCUUGUACGGGAUCAGCCUGGUGCUGCGGAGCGUGUGUCCUGAGCAAAACGUCCUCACCGCCCUGUUCUACUGCCCAGGAGUCUAUGAGGAGUACAGUGCCGCCCUGUGCUUCACUUGCGCCUGGUACUGCACGGCGGUGACCUGCGGCCUCCUCCACCUGUUGCUGACACAGCUGCUCAACAUCAGCUACAACGUGACGGAGCGCGAGGCGCGCGCCGCUGUCAGGGAGCGCUCCGGCCGCCGGGCCCUGUGCGGGCUCGUCGUGGAAACCGGCGUCUACUCGCGAGGCCUGCGCGCCAACUGGGUCGAGUUUUUGACCGUGGUGGACCAACAGACGCAUGUGUAAGAGCAGCGUCGCUAUUCUGCUUUUGUCCACUGGAGGACAGCAUGGUGCCUUACAAGCACUGUUAGGCUUGGUUGCAUUCCUUCAGUGCUGUGAUGGUGACUUCUGUAGAAAGCCGGUUGAGCCUUUGCAGUGCCAUCCAGGGAGCGCAGGCGACAAGUGAUGCGUGAAAGUCAUUCAUUUCAACAUCCAUCCCGCAUUAGAGGCUUCAUCUCGCCGAGAUGAGGCCUGAUUGGCAUACCUACCUCUGACAAGAACGCCACAUGUAGUCAGGCGCAGUAUUUUUCUGCAGAGGACAGGUACGAAUAUACAAAUACUUUAGAUGUUCUGGGUCUCCUUCUUUCCAAAAACAUGUUGGGUUCAAUGAUGACUCUAUAUCAGGGGUGGGGAAAUUAGAGCUGGCUGGCCACAUACGACUAUCAUUUAGCUCUUUAAAUAGUUCAUUCAUUUAAUGGAAAUAAUACAAUCUAAAAUGGUAAAAUAAAAAAUGUAUAGACAUUUAUUGUUUUAAAUAGUUGGCUCCUUAAUUAUUUUUAAAAUAAAUUCAACAUUUAAAAAGAAUCAUUUUAACUAUUUUACAAAUUUCAGAUGCACCUCUGACCUGUGGCCCUUGUUUGGCCAACCCUGCUCUAAAUUUUCCGUUAUGUUGUCUGUGCCCAGCAGGAUCAUGCAAAAAGUACUGAGUACUCAUAACAUACUGGUAUUCAGGGGUGCUUUCUGGCUUGUGCAUUAUAUGCGGCUGCUCAGGGUAGGAUUGCUGGUGGUGGGGGGGGGGCGGGCAUCACCGCAUACCAAAAUAAAUUGUAAAAAGUGCUACGUGAAAUGGUUUUCUGUUGUUUUAAUGUCCUCUGGAGAAGAGAUUGCAGGGAGACGCACUGUUUCUCAGUACAUUUGAACCUCAGGGCUGAAUCAUGAAGCAUGUCAUGUUCAGGUGAACAAAUCUUUUUAUUAAACUGAGUCUAGCGAUAGAGCAUCUUUGAGAAAACUGCUAUCACUACCACAGUGAGGAAAGGAACAGGGUGGUCAAUAAACGGAACACCAACCUAAGUCACGGUACAAACAAAAUGACAGCACUACUCGUAACAAGCUGGUAACACACACAACUAAUACUACAAACAUGGGGAAACUGCAAACAACUUUAGGCUAUUGCUACACAACUCUUGCCUUAUUUUGUAAUUGAGAUCGAUGUCUUAUUAUUUUAGAAAAUAAGGACAAUGUUGGAAAGAGUGUCAGUUUUGACAAAAAAAACAACAACAACUGAAGACCUUUUUGUUUCGCAAUGGUUGAUGUAACAUUGGACUUGGACUCAUUGACAUUGUAUGGCUUUAACUGUGUGUACGUUAUUUAUUUCUCAAUAAAUGAUUGACGACUUGCUGUGUUACUGA